AGAGUUUGAUCAUGGCUCAGGAUAAACGCUGGCGGCGUGCCUAACACAUGCAAGUCGAACGCUCUACUUCGGUAGGGAGUGGCGGACGGGUGAGGAACACGUGGGUCAUCUACCUUGAGGUGAGGAAUACCGGCGAGAAAUCGCCGACAAUACCGCAUGACCUUGGGAACAAGGAAAGCUCGCAAGAGCGCCACAAGAUG
This 200-nucleotide ribosomal RNA is filed under the name uncultured bacterium. RNAcentral describes it as "partial 16S ribosomal RNA". It matches the Rfam family "Bacterial small subunit ribosomal RNA", at positions 8 to 227 of the family's 1533-position model. The record is from RNAcentral.